GAUAAACAACUUUCAUCUUGGUUAGAGAACUUGAUCAAUCUUAUUUUUGCAGAGGUGUUUGAUAAACAAUAAAUUUUUAAAUCACCUCCAAUUUAAACCUUACUCAUAAAGCAUAAUCAAAACAAAAGUACUAGAUCAUCAUGAAGCAUGGGUAUUGCAAAGAUAGAUCAAUUACUAAACUCCACAACUAAGAUUUAGAAUUCAAGACAAUGCUCAUGAUAAAAUAUUAUAAAGGCAAAGUAAAAGACAAGAAAGCAAAGAUAGACACUAAAAACCCUCGCUCGAACCUCGAAUUUUAUUCAUGAUUCUCCAAACAAAGAUGCAAAAGUAGCGAUCUAGGCCUAAGUCUUCCCAAAGCUAAGAAUACUACUACUUUAUCAAUUUUUAUUGAAAGCAAAAACACUAAUUUAGAGACUAUCACACAACUCGAUAAAACUAAACUCCGAAAAACUCCAUACGAGCAGCGAACCUCCCCCCCCCCAGCUUAAAAUCUAUGACAUCCUCUUCGUAACCAUAAUGACUAAAAAGGGGUGAGACGCUCGUAAACACACUAGUGAUGCUACCCACACUACUUGUAGAAUGGACGGUUGCUGCUUCCUUCGCUAUGAGCCUUGUUCUUCCUUAUGUUGCCACACAUCCUGAAGAGCUUCCUCACGUUCCUCUGCAAGAACUUGAAGUCAUCUUCCUGGCGGCGGUCAUUCUACUCCACCUUGUGGUCCAGCUCUUGCAUGGCUUGUAUGAUGUUUUCGAUGGCGUCGAAGAGGUACUGGAUGUUCUUUCUGCAAAGUGAUGCAACAAGCAUGAUCAUGCUCCUCCGGUUCUGGCUCAUCAUCUUCUGGAGCCUUCUCCUUGCCCUUGUCUUGACGGUGCUCAUCUUGCUCCUUGCUUUUCUUCAUCUCAUUAGCCCACUCCCAGUAUGUGUUGGCAUCUUCUUCGUCAUCACGGCCUGCAGCACCCCAUGAUCCGAGGCUCCUAUCGUCCUCCCAAUCGCUAUCUCCUGCAAAGUUAGCUAGCUUGGGGGUCUUGUCCUCAUAGUUCUUGAGCUUGAUCCCAAGUAGCUUUCCUGAAUGCCUUGUGGGAGUGACAAC
This 1088-nucleotide long non-coding RNA is filed under the name Setaria viridis. Its description in RNAcentral is "long non-coding RNA (SVIR_LNC010295)". The record is from RNAcentral. Lineage: Eukaryota; Viridiplantae; Streptophyta; Magnoliopsida; Poales; Poaceae.